This 400-nucleotide ribosomal RNA is filed under the name uncultured bacterium. RNAcentral's name for it is "bacterial SSU rRNA". It matches the Rfam family "Bacterial small subunit ribosomal RNA", at positions 29 to 416 of the family's 1533-position model. The record is from RNAcentral.
AGCGAACGUUAGCGGCGCGCCUAACACAUGCAAGUCGCACGAGAAAGGGAGCAAUCCCCGGUACAGUGGCGCACGGGUGAGUAACACGUAGAUGACCUUCCCUGGAGUGGUGGAUAACCUGCCGAAAGGCGGGCUAAUACAGCAUGGGACCACAUGGUUUUGACCGAGUGGUGAAAGCGGGCCUCUGUUCACAAGCUCGCGCUCUGGGAUGGGUCUGCGUCCCAUCAGCUAGUUGGUGAGGUAAUGGCUCACCAAGGCAUCGACGGGUAGCUGGUCUGAGAGGAUGACCAGCCACACUGGAACUGAGACACGGUCCAGACUCCUACGGGAGGUAGCAGUGGGGAAUCUUGCGCAAUGGGCGAAAGCCUGACGCAGCGACGCCGCGUGGGUGAUGAAGGCC